RNAcentral lists this ribosomal RNA (441 nucleotides) under marine sediment bacterium ISA-7192. RNAcentral's name for it is "bacterial SSU rRNA". It matches the Rfam family "Bacterial small subunit ribosomal RNA", at positions 50 to 484 of the family's 1533-position model. The record is from RNAcentral.
UAUACAUGCAGUCGAGCGGAUUGAUGGGAGCUUGCUCCCUGAUAUCAGCGGCGGACGGGUGAGUAACACGUGGGUAACCUGCCUGUAAGACUGGGAUAACUCCGGGAAACCGGGGCUAAUACCGGAUAACUCAUUUCCUCGCAUGAGGAAAUGUUGAAAGAUGGCUUCUGCUAUCACUUACAGAUGGACCCGCGGCGCAUUAGCUAGUUGGUGAGGUAACGGCUCACCAAGGCAACGAUGCGUAGCCGACCUGAGAGGGUGAUCGGCCACACUGGGACUGAGACACGGCCCAGACUCCUACGGGAGGCAGCAGUAGGGAAUCUUCCGCAAUGGACGAAAGUCUGACGGAGCAACGCCGCGUGAGUGAUGAAGGUUUUCGGAUCGUAAAGCUCUGUUGUUAGGGAAGAACAAGUACCGUUCGAAUAGGGCGGUACCUUGACG